Fukomys damarensis (Damara mole-rat) is the source of this 107-nucleotide small nuclear RNA. The record is from Ensembl. Lineage: Eukaryota; Metazoa; Chordata; Mammalia; Rodentia; Bathyergidae.
GUGCUUGCUUCAGGAACAUAUAUACUAAAGUUGGAAAGAUAAAGAAAAGUUUAGCAUGGUCCCUGCACAGGGAUGCCCUGCAAAUUUUUGAAGCAUCUCCUUCUUUU